CUGCGUCUCCCUCUCCCUAACCUCAUUUAAGGGCUGGCGGCUGAAGAGAAAGACCUUCUACUUGUGGACUGCAUCCUUUGAGAGUUGCGAGCCUGGAUCCUCAGAAAAGGGGGAAGGUGAAGGGGAGCUCUGCUGCUGGCUGCCAGACAGGCUCCCACACCGAGCAGCUCGAGGGGAACCCUCAGCCUGGAGAGGAAAUCCAGAGAGCAGAGCUGCAAGCCGGGGGAAGAGCAGGCGACAUCUUAAAGCUGCGAUCGUCUACAAAUAUUAACUGACCCUGGGCUUUGCAACUGCCAAAAAAUGAUGCUUGAGAAAUGUGGCGCCAGGAAUCCUGAAGUCACUUCUGGAGCUUUGGAAAAUGCAGCUGCCUUGGGAUGUCAGCCCACGACGGUUGUUAUUAUCCACUGUGCAGAAUGAAGCUUCUGUUGGGAGCGCUCACAAAGGCCAUCAUUCUUUACAAAUAGUGGCUGUUUUUAUCACCUGGCAGUAAUGAUGCUCUCUGGUCCUUUUAAUAUCUGAGCAUGGUCCCACAGUACAGCUGGGAAACUCGUCUCGGGCUUGGCCCUGCACAGGGGAGCAAGCAGCUUGUGAUUCUCUGCCAAAGGCACAGUUACUGGUGUGGAAAUGGGCAGGGUUCGUGCAAUAACUGCCUCCCUGUCAAGCUUGGCCGCCUGCAGGCUGGGUUCAGCUGCUUGCUGUGAAACAGAGCAGCACAUAUCACAGUGUAUGUCCAUGUGCCACUGCUGGGACGACUGUGUCCAGACUCCUCUAGGGAUGAGGUCAGAGAUGGCACUGACCAUCCUUCAAGCCACAGGGAGCUGUGACUUUCAGCAUCCUUGGCUCUGCGUCUCCUCUCCUAUCUUGAAAGUAAAGUACCAGGUGACUCAGGGUGACAGAUACACUGGGUGCAAGUCCCAUGUGCUGGGAAAUGGCCUUGAAUUUUGGAGCUUGUCCAUGUCUCGGGGAGACACAGCCCCCAGAACGUGGUCUGUGGGGUAGCUGACAUCUUGCAGCCAGCCUGCAUCCACGUGCAGGCUGUGGCAGUGCCUCAGACCUGACCCUGAAGGUGCUGGGGAAGUGACUCACGGCACAAAGCCGGAGAUGCUCAGCCUGCUUAGCUUACUAAAAAGAACAGGAGGUGACUUAAUUGUGCUGUGUGAGAAACCUUCGUGGGGAGAGGCAGGCUCUAAAGAUAUUAGAAAGGAAAAGAUUUCACCAUCCCGGUUUCUUGUAAGAUGGGAAGAUAAAGCCAUACUUGAGAACCUCAGUGGGAGCUAGCAGCAGGGUCUGGAAUUGCUGGUUGCCUGACAACACUGAAUCAUUUUGUGACCUUAUCAUUCUGUUUAUUUGGAUGAGCCAUCCCUGGCGGCUGGGAGGUGCGGAGGGCUGCAGUGGAUGCCCAGCAGUGAGGGGCUGCCCGCCGCCUCUGCUCAGUGGUGCCCUUGGAAGCUGGAGGUGGGCACGUAUGGAGUGCUCCUGCUGAGACGCUGGGGAUCAAGGUGGUGUUCAUAACAGUCAAAAAAUGUGUUUGCUUCCUCUUGCAAAUGUUCAAACAUCUUUAAACUGUCUGCGGUGCCAAGCUGUUUCUCUCCCUAUUUUAAGAGAAAAUAAGCUUUCUAUAAGGAAAAGAAGCCACAAAAAGCACAGCAAGCCCAAAGUUAACAGUGAGCGGACCAAAAUGAAACUAAUGCUAGAAAGAUUCCAGCUGCUCUUCCAAAACAGUGUACCUCACAGCGAAGGGUAUGGGAAAAGAUGAGAGAAUGGGU
Long non-coding RNA from Gallus gallus (chicken), 1766 nucleotides. Lineage: Eukaryota; Metazoa; Chordata; Aves; Galliformes; Phasianidae. The record is from Ensembl.